UGGGGAAUAUUGGACAAUGGGCGCAAGCCUGAUCCAGCCAUGCCGCGUGAGUGAUGAAGGCCUUCGGGUUGUAAAGCUCUUUCAGGUGGGACGAUGAUGACGGUACCACCAGAAGAAGCCCCGGCUAACUUCGUGCCAGCAGCCGCGGUAAUACGAAGGGGGCGAGCGUUGUUCGGAUUUACUGGGCGUAAAGCGCGCGUAGGCGGUCCUGCCAGUCGGGGGUGAAAGCCCAGGGCUCAACCCUGGAACGGCCUUCGAUACUGCGGGACUUGAGUUCGGGAGAGGGGCAUGGAAUUCCCAGUGUAGAGGUGAAAUUCGUAGAUAUUGGGAAGAACACCAGUGGCGAAGGCGGUGCCCUGGCCCGAGACUGACGCUGAGGUGCGAAAGCGUGGGGAGCAAACAGGAUUAGAUACCCCCGUAGUCC
This 424-nucleotide ribosomal RNA is filed under the name uncultured prokaryote. RNAcentral describes it as "bacterial SSU rRNA". It matches the Rfam family "Bacterial small subunit ribosomal RNA", at positions 355 to 796 of the family's 1533-position model. The record is from RNAcentral.